GUCAUCAUAAAACCUCCUAAUGCUGCUCUUAGGCUCUACGGAGGGGCUCCUUUUGAAAGAGUGAUGCAUGAAUUCAGGUGUGCUGCAUAUUCAUUGAAUGCCCCCCAGUGUCAAGAGAAAAGCGGUGCAUUUUCCUUCUUCAAGCAGGUGGCAAAUAUAUUGCUUGCCUACGCUGGCCGAGGAGGGGGUAGAGGUGUAACAGAAGCAGCUGCAGAGAUUGCCCGUGCUGCUG
RNAcentral lists this unclassified non-coding RNA (232 nucleotides) under Hevea brasiliensis (rubber tree). The record is from RNAcentral. Lineage: Eukaryota; Viridiplantae; Streptophyta; Magnoliopsida; Malpighiales; Euphorbiaceae.